GCUGGGCGUGGUGGUGCAUGCCUGUAAUCCCAGCUACUUGGGAGGCUGAGGCAGGAGAAUCGCUUGAACUCGGGAGGCAGAGGUUGCAGUGAGCUGGGAUCGUGCCACUGCACUCCAGCCUGGGUGAUAGAGUGAGACUCUGUCUCAA
Unclassified non-coding RNA from Pongo abelii (Sumatran orangutan), 148 nucleotides. It matches the Rfam family "Metazoan signal recognition particle RNA". From Rfam's summary of the family: The signal recognition particle (SRP) is a universally conserved ribonucleoprotein. It is involved in the co-translational targeting of proteins to membranes. The record is from Ensembl. Lineage: Eukaryota; Metazoa; Chordata; Mammalia; Primates; Hominidae.